Molecule: long non-coding RNA, 1300 nt
Filed under: Chrysolophus pictus (golden pheasant)
Lineage: Eukaryota; Metazoa; Chordata; Aves; Galliformes; Phasianidae
Description: lncRNA (ENSCPIG00010003868.1)
Source: RNAcentral
CUGCGAUCCAACAUUUUUUAGCUGCCUAAGCUCAGCAACCAGAUGCUCCUUGGCCAUCAGGUCCCCUUCUCUGAACAGGAGGGGUGGGACGAGCGCCCGAGGACAGCCCUGCUGCAUCUGGGCUGGGCUGCUGCAGACUCUCCCAUGGAGAAUGCUCCUCUAGGAAAGGCCUUUGAGUCCUCUCCCCAGCCUGGCCUCAUAAGUGACUUCAUCCUCUGUCCCAGCAGAUGCCAAGGAGCUUACUCAACAGAUGAAGUUAUGAUGAGCAACAGGGUAACGGGACUGAUCAGUACAAGCUAGGGGAUUUAAGGACAGAGCGCAGCCCUGCUGUAAGGGACCUGAGGGUGCUGGUGGAUGGCAACAUCGACAUAAGCCAGCAAUGUGCCCUCACAGCCCAGAAAGCCAACUGGAUCCUGGACUGCAUCCAAAGCAAUGCAGUCAGCAGGUCAAGGGAGGUGAUCCUGUCCCUCUGCUCUGCACUAUAAGACCUCACCUGGAGUACUGUGUCCAAAUGUGGAGUCCUCAGCAAAGGAGAGACGUGAACUUGUUGGAGUUCAUCCAGAAGAGAGAACACCUCCCCUACGAAGAUAGGCAGUGAGAGCUGGGGCUGUGCAGCCUGGAGAAGGAGACCUGAGAGCAGCCUUUCGUUACGCAAAGGGAGGCUCCUUAGCAGUGGACACUCUUUAGCAGUGUCUGCUGUGGUAGAACAAGGGGAAAUGGUUUCAAACUAAAAGAGGGGAGAUUUAGGUUGGAUAUAAGGAAGAAAUUUUUUACAGUAAUGGUGGGGGGGCACUGGCACAGGUUGCCCAGGGAGGUGCUGGAUGCCCCGUCCUUGGAGAUAUCCAAGGUCAGGCUGGACGGGGCUCUGAGCACCUGAUGGAGCUGUGGGAGUCUCUGUUCAUUGCAGAGGGAUUGGAAUAGAUGAUCUUUAAGUCUUCCUUUCAACUCAAAUGAUACUAUGAUUUUAUGAUGCAAGGGUGGAGGAGGUCUCAGGUGAAGAGAACUGAUUUUGGUGAGAAACCCUGCCUGUUGCCACAGGGCUCUGGUGGUCUUCAGACAUAUACAGUUACUAGGCCUAAGGCCAUGUGUGACUGAGAAGAAAAGCUCCUGGAGUGGAAAAUUCCAAUCAUUGACUUAAUGAGGACAAAAUUCAUAUUUGUAUUGGGGGAAAAAAAAAACAACAGUAAAAGCUGCAAUUGAGAAGCCCAUCCUUGAACUGUGACCAAAUGGGAACUGGAAAAACCAAGAAUUUAUAAAUGAAUGUCACAUUUUCCCUUAUAUGUGCUGGUCCACCUGGAGC